UAAUUUUAAUUGUUAACACUAAAACAUGUUAACAUAUUUUAACAUGUGUAUUAGGAACACCACUGUAUGCUUACAGAACAUGCCCAAACUCAAAACACUAAAUAAUUCAUGGAACAAUAAGUUUAUGAUAAAAUGUGAAUACAGAGCUCACAUCAUAUUAAGGAUGACUUUGUGUAGUGUUGCAAAGUUAGGACAUCCUACAGCAGCCUGGCCAUUCUAGAAUUACAGCAUGUUCAAGUAGCUCUGUUAGAAGUGUCGGGGUCUGGGAGUAUCUGUUUGUUUUCUGUUUCUUUCCUGCUAUUUACUCUGCUUAGUCCAUAGGUGGUGUGGGAGCUCAUGGGUGCAGAGGUGACAGGUGUGGCUCAUCCUGCUGAUUGCUGCUGGGACCAUUUAAGCAGGAGGCUGCCAGAACUUUAAUGCCUGAGUGUUAGCCAACAGUGGUUGCUUUUAAGCCCUGGCUAUGUUUCAUGUUUGUUUCCUGACUUCUGGAUCUAAGACUCAAGCCUCCAGUUACCUUCUCUAGAUAAACUCCAAGCUGGCAGCUUUCCUCUGGUCUAGUGCUCCCACACUCCACAUCCCUCUUUCCCCCUGGCAGUUCAAUCAUCUCAUCCAUUGGUGAUCUACCGGUCCUGUUCUCUUGCCACUAACUCAUUCAUCUGAAAAUAAAUCUCUUAAAAAU
Molecule: long non-coding RNA, 679 nt
Organism: Girardinichthys multiradiatus
Lineage: Eukaryota; Metazoa; Chordata; Actinopteri; Cyprinodontiformes; Goodeidae
Exons: 3
Source: RefSeq, a predicted model, not a curated record